GUGCAUGAGUGCAUAGUGUAUAGUGUGCCAUUUGGGACGCAGCUAUGGAAAGGCUUCUUCACUGCGCUGUUGUUUGUUGAUGCCCUUAUUUGAGGAACAUUUUUGUUCUUAUACCUCAGAUAGGGUUUUUGGUAUACACUUUAAGUCAUCAAAACAGGACCUGGACAAUCCAUCCUCAUAUCCACAGACUUUUUCCAUCCACUUUCCUACUGAUUCCGUGGCCAACCAUUGAUGAACUGUUUGCUGAACUUGAUCUUUCAUGUGAUUCACUUAAGGACUGUUGGUAUCUUUUUUUGAUUGCUAUAAAUACUGGAUUCAAUGAGAAAGACACUUAUCAAAUGCUUAUUUCUGUCUAAUAGUGAUCAUUGAGUUGACUGCUGAUCAUUUCAUAUCCCCAGUGUGUAACAAUAAUUAUUCAUACCUGUUGUCAUAUACAUUUAUUCUAAAUACACAUGAAUCUCUGAAAGUUGUUUUGUGGUCUCUCAAUUUCUUUAAUGUAGCUU
This is a non-coding RNA of Danio rerio (zebrafish), 503 nucleotides long. NCBI's taxonomy places the organism in Eukaryota, Metazoa, Chordata, Actinopteri, Cypriniformes, Danionidae. The record is from RefSeq and is a predicted model, not a curated record.